AGCAGCCGCGGUAAUUCCAGCUCCAAUAGCGUAUAUUAAAGUUGUUGCAGUUAAAAAGCUCGUAGUUGAAUUUCGGGAUCAGUUCGCUGGUCGUGCCUUCGGUAUGUACUGGUGUUACUGGUUCCUACCUUCUGACGAACCGUCAUGUCAUUAAUUUGGUGUGGCGGGGAAUCAGGACUGUUACUUUGAAAAAUUAGAGUGUUUAAAGCAGGCUCGCGCUUGAAUACAUUAGCAUGGAAUAAUGAAAUAGGACGUUCGAUCCUAUUUUGUUGGUUUCUAGGAUUGACGUAAUGAUUAAUAGGGAUAGUUGGGGGCAUUAGUAUUCAAUUGUCAGAGGUGAAAUUCUUGGAUUUAUUGAAGACUAACUACUGCGAAAGCAUUUGCCAAGGAUGUUUUCAUUAAUCAAGAACGAAAGUUAGGGGAUCGAAGACGAUCAGAUACCGUCGUAGUCUUAACUAUAAACUAUGCCGACU
This 473-nucleotide small RNA is filed under the name uncultured Glomus. RNAcentral's name for it is "SSU rRNA". It matches the Rfam family "Eukaryotic small subunit ribosomal RNA", at positions 569 to 1047 of the family's 1831-position model. Lineage: Eukaryota; Fungi; Glomeromycota; Glomeromycetes; Glomerales; Glomeraceae. The record is from RNAcentral.